RNAcentral lists this ribosomal RNA (871 nucleotides) under uncultured archaeon. Its description in RNAcentral is "bacterial SSU rRNA". It matches the Rfam family "Archaeal small subunit ribosomal RNA", at positions 1 to 879 of the family's 1478-position model. The record is from RNAcentral.
UCCGGUUGAUCCUGCCGGACCUGACUGCUAUCGGAUUGAUACUAAGCCAUGUGAGUCAUUGUAGCAAUACAAGGCAGACGGCUCAGUAACACGUAGCCAACCUACCCCUAUGGACGGGGAUAACCUCGGGAAACUGAGGAUAAACCCCGAUAGAUCAUUAUACCUGGAACGGUUUAUGGUCCAAAUGAUUCGUCGCCGUAGGAUGGGACUGCGGCCUAUCAGCUUGUUGGUGAGGUAAUGGCCCACCAAGGCUAUUACAGGUACGGGCUCUGAGAGGAGAAGCCCGGAGAUGGGUACUGAGACACGGACCCAGGCCCUAUGGGGCGCAGCAGGCGAGAAAACUUUGCAAUGUGCGCAAGCASGACAAGGUUAAUCCGAGUGUUUCCUGCUAAAGGAAUCUUUUGCUAGUCCUAAAAACACUAGCGAAUAAGGGGUGGGCAAGUUCUGGUGUCAGCCGCCGCGGUAAAACCAGCACCUCAAGUGGUCAGGAGGAUUAUUGGGCCUAAAGCAUCCGUAGCCUGCUCUGUAAGUUUCCGGUUAAAUCCAUUAGCUUAACUGAUGGGCCGCCGGAAAAACUGCAAAGCUAGGGAGUGGGAGAGGUAGACGGUACUCGGUAGGAAGGGGUAAAAUCCUUUGAUCUAUUGAUGACCACCUGUGGCGAAGGCGGUCUACCAGAACACGUUCGACGGUGAGGGAUGAAAGCUGGGGGAGCAAACCGGAUUAGAUACCCGGGUAGUCCCAGCUGUAAACGAUGCAGACUCGGUGAUGCCCUGGCUUGUGGCCAGUGCAGUGCCGCAGGGAAGCCGUUAAGUUUGCCGCCUGGGAAGUACGUACGCAAGUAUGAAACUUAAAGGAAUUGGCGGGGGAGCAC